GCGGGGGAAAAGAUGGAGAUAACCUCAAAGUCUUACCUAUCGC
Molecule: unclassified non-coding RNA, 43 nt
Filed under: Clostridioides difficile
Lineage: Bacteria; Bacillati; Bacillota; Clostridia; Peptostreptococcales; Peptostreptococcaceae
Also listed under: 1 other name
Source: RNAcentral